Molecule: ribosomal RNA, 483 nt
Filed under: uncultured Rhodocyclaceae bacterium
Lineage: Bacteria; Pseudomonadati; Pseudomonadota; Betaproteobacteria; Rhodocyclales; Rhodocyclaceae
Description: bacterial SSU rRNA
Rfam family: Bacterial small subunit ribosomal RNA
Source: RNAcentral
AUUGAACGCUGGCGGCAUGCCUUACACAUGCAAGUCGAACGGCAGCACGGACUUCGGUCUGGUGGCGAGUGGCGAACGGGUGAGUAACGUAUCGGAACGUACCAUUCAGUGGGGGAUAACUAUCCGAAAGGAUAGCUAAUACCGCAUAUUCUGUGCGCAGGAAAGCAGGGGACCCUCGGGCCUUGCGCUGAUUGAGCGGCCGAUAUCAGAUUAGCUAGUUGGUGAGGUAAAGGCUCACCAAGGCGACGAUCUGUAGCGGGUCUGAGAGGAUGAUCCGCCACACUGGAACUGAGACACGGUCCAGACUCCUACGGGAGGCAGCAGUGGGAAUUUUGGACAAUGGGGGCAACCCUGAUCCAGCAAUGCCGCGUGAGUGAAGAAGGCCUUCGGGUUGUAAAGCUCUUUUGUCAGGGAAGAAACGGUGAUUUCUAAUACAGAUUGCUAAUGACGGUACCUGAAGAAUAAGCACCGGCUAACUACGUG